RNAcentral lists this small nuclear RNA (24 nucleotides) under Arabidopsis thaliana (thale cress). RNAcentral describes it as "snRNA_17539". Lineage: Eukaryota; Viridiplantae; Streptophyta; Magnoliopsida; Brassicales; Brassicaceae. The record is from RNAcentral.
AUAGAAAGUGCCUCAAACAUAAAA